RNAcentral lists this ribosomal RNA (380 nucleotides) under uncultured eukaryote. RNAcentral describes it as "partial 18S ribosomal RNA". It matches the Rfam family "Eukaryotic small subunit ribosomal RNA", at positions 592 to 976 of the family's 1831-position model. The record is from RNAcentral.
CAAUAGCGUAUAUUAAAGUUGUUGCGGUUAAAAAGCUCGUAGUUGGAUUUCUGCUGAGGACGAUCGGUCCGCCCUCUGGGUGAGUAUCUGGCUCGGCCUUGGCAUCUUCUUGGAGAACGUUACUGCACUUGACUGUGUGGUGCGGUAUCCAGGACUUUUACUUUGAGGAAAUUAGAGUGUUUCAAGCAGGCGCACGCCUUGAAUACAUUAGCAUGGAAUAAUAAGAUAGGACCUUGGUUCUAUUUUGUUGGUUUCUAGAGCUGAGGUAAUGAUUAAUAGGGAUAGUUGGGGGCAUUCGUAUUUAACUGUCAGAGGCGAAAUUCUUGGAUUUGUUAAAGACGGACUACUGCGAAAGCAUUUGCCAAGGAUGUUUUCAUUGA